GUGGGGAAUAUUGGACAAUGGGCGAAAGCCUGAUCCAGCAAUGCCGCGUGAGUGAUGAAGGCCCUAGGGUUGUAAAGCUCUUUUACCAGGGAUGAUAAUGACAGUACCUGGAGAAUAAGCUCCGGCUAACUCCGUGCCAGCAGCCGCGGUAAUACGGAGGGAGCUAGCGUUGUUCGGAAUUACUGGGCGUAAAGCGCGCGUAGGCGGUUUUUUAAGUCAGAGGUGAAAGCCCGGGGCUCAACCCCGGAAUUGCCUUUGAAACUGGAAAACUUGAAUCUUGGGGAGGUCAGUGGAAUUCCGAGUGUAGAGGUGAAAUUCGUAGAUAUUCGGAAGAACACCAGUGGCGAAGGCGACUGACUGGACAAGUAUUGACGCUGAGGUGCGAAAGCGUGGGGAGCAAACAGGAUUAGAAACCCUAGUAGUCC
This 425-nucleotide ribosomal RNA is filed under the name uncultured bacterium. RNAcentral describes it as "bacterial SSU rRNA". It matches the Rfam family "Bacterial small subunit ribosomal RNA", at positions 354 to 796 of the family's 1533-position model. The record is from RNAcentral.